Molecule: ribosomal RNA, 259 nt
Filed under: uncultured bacterium
Lineage: Bacteria
Description: partial 16S ribosomal RNA
Rfam family: Bacterial small subunit ribosomal RNA
Source: RNAcentral
UGGCGGACGGGUGAGUAACGCGUGGGUAACCUGCCUUAUACAGGGGGAUAACAACCAGAAAUGGUUGCUAAUACCGCAUAAGCGCACGGGAUUGCAUGAUCCAGUGUGAAAAACUCCGGUGGUAUGAGAUGGACCCGCGUCUGAUUAGCCAGUUGGCGGGGUAACGGCCCACCAAAGCGACGAUCAGUAGCCGACCUGAGAGGGUGACCGGCCACAUUGGGACUGAGACACGGCCCAAACUCCUACGGGAGGCAGCAUG